This 125-nucleotide ribosomal RNA is filed under the name Rhodococcus sp. WS4. RNAcentral's name for it is "partial 16S ribosomal RNA". It matches the Rfam family "Bacterial small subunit ribosomal RNA", at positions 1420 to 1533 of the family's 1533-position model. The record is from RNAcentral. Lineage: Bacteria; Bacillati; Actinomycetota; Actinomycetes; Mycobacteriales; Nocardiaceae.
CCCGAAGCCGGUGGCCUAACCCCUUGUGGGAGGGAGCCGUCGAAGGUGGGAUCGGCGAUUGGGACGAAGUCGUAACAAGGUAGCCGUACCGGAAGGUGCGGCUGGAUCACCUCCUUUCUAAGGAG